GGAACCUUGUUGCUUAGGUUCUUAGAAGUUCUCUAAAAAGAUUUAAUGGGAGAUUGACGGUAAUUGGUAAACCUACC
RNAcentral lists this transfer RNA (77 nucleotides) under Salmonella phage FSL SP-107. RNAcentral's name for it is "tRNA-Thr". The record is from RNAcentral. Lineage: Duplodnaviria; Heunggongvirae; Uroviricota; Caudoviricetes; Andersonviridae.